Non-coding RNA from Lonchura striata (white-rumped munia), 201 nucleotides. The record is from RefSeq and is a predicted model, not a curated record. Lineage: Eukaryota; Metazoa; Chordata; Aves; Passeriformes; Estrildidae.
CACGCAGCUUUUCCAGGGGAAUGACUGCUUCCCCCUCCUAAAAAAAUGGUGGGGGUGGUAACCCAGAGCUUGCUUGGGGUGUGGAUAUCUGUUAAAGGCAUUCCUAUAAAUCAGAUCUGUCUCUUAUGGAAAUGUGCCAACCACAAAACUCCUGAGUAUGCUGCAAUGAGCCUCAGUCUCUUCUGCAGCAGCCCCACACAC